Molecule: transfer RNA, 78 nt
Filed under: Oscillospiraceae bacterium
Lineage: Bacteria; Bacillati; Bacillota; Clostridia; Eubacteriales; Oscillospiraceae
Description: tRNA-Gln
Rfam family: tRNA
About the family: Transfer RNA (tRNA) molecules are approximately 80 nucleotides in length. Their secondary structure includes four short double-helical elements and three loops (D, anti-codon, and T loops).
Source: RNAcentral
UGGGAUAUGGCCAAGUUGGUUAAGGCACAAGACUUUGACUCUUGCAUUUCGCUGGUUCGAGUCCAGCUAUCCCAGCCA